Frieseomelitta varia is the source of this 342-nucleotide long non-coding RNA. RefSeq lists it as uncharacterized. The record is from RefSeq and is a predicted model, not a curated record. Lineage: Eukaryota; Metazoa; Arthropoda; Insecta; Hymenoptera; Apidae. The transcript has 3 exons.
UACGGUUGCUUCUUGUGCAAUGUGUACAUGUAACCGUGGUGAAUUAAUUUUGGCCCGCCUUUAUUCGAUAGCACAACCUGUGGAGUUCGUGAUUCUAAAAAGUUUCAUAAAAAUUGUAUAAAAAGUAUUAUUAAAUGAUGGGAGAUUUCAUAUACUUGAACUUGAUUAAUUAUUACAAGUAGAAUGAUAUAGUUUUUCCAGUUUAAGCUUAAGGAUGAAAUUUCACAAUAUUUCACAAAUUAAAUUAAAAUUUUAUAAUUGCCAGCAAGAACAGAUGAUGUUGAUGCUUCUUCCUUGACCUCCGCUUUGUUUUUAUUGGACGCACUUUUCAUACGUUGUGGC